This 429-nucleotide ribosomal RNA is filed under the name uncultured bacterium. RNAcentral's name for it is "bacterial SSU rRNA". It matches the Rfam family "Bacterial small subunit ribosomal RNA", at positions 355 to 776 of the family's 1533-position model. The record is from RNAcentral.
UGAGGAAUAUUGCGCAAUGGGCGAAAGCCUGACGCAGCGACACCGCGUGAAGGAUGAAGGUCUUAGGAUUGUAAACUUCUGUUAAGUGAGAAGAAAGAACUACCUCUAAUAUAGGUAGGUGAUGACGUUAUCACUAUAGAAAGCACCGGCUAAUCUCGUGCCAGCAGCCGCGGUAAUACGAGAGGUGCAAGCGUUAUUCGGAAUUAUUGGGCGUAAAGGGUGCGUAGACGGCUUUUUAAGUCUUUUGUUUAAUUUCUCGGCCUAACUGAGAGUCAGCGAGAGAUACUGAAAAGCUAGAGGAUGGAAGAGAGAAGUGGAAUUAUCGGAGUAGCGGUUAAAUGCGUAGAUCUCGAUAGGAACACCGAUGGCGAAAGCAGCUUCUUGGUCCAUAUCUGACGUUGCAGCACGAAAGCGUGGGGAGCAAACAGG